RNAcentral lists this ribosomal RNA (433 nucleotides) under uncultured bacterium. Its description in RNAcentral is "partial 16S ribosomal RNA". It matches the Rfam family "Bacterial small subunit ribosomal RNA", at positions 29 to 507 of the family's 1533-position model. The record is from RNAcentral.
AGCGAACGCUGGCGGCAGGCCUAACACAUGCAAGUCGAACGAACUCUUCGGAGUUAGUGGCGGACGGGUGAGUAACACGUGGGAACGUGCCUUUUGGUUCGGAAUAACUCAGGGAAACUUGUGCUAAUACCGAAUGUGCCCUUCGGGGGAAAGAUUUAUCGCCAUUAGAGCGGCCCGCGUCUGAUUAGCUAGUUGGUGAGGUAACGGCUCACCAAGGCGACGAUCAGUAGCUGGUCUGAGAGGAUGACCAGCCACACUGGGACUGAGACACGGCCCAGACUCCUACGGGAAGCAGCAGUGGGGAAUCUUGCGCAAUGGGCGAAAGCCUGACGCAGCCAUGCCGCGUGAAUGAUGAAGGUCCUAGGAUUGUAAAAUUCUUUCACCGGGGACGAUAAUGACGGUACCCGGAGAAGAAGCCCCGGCUAACUUCGUG